Non-coding RNA from Biomphalaria glabrata, 57 nucleotides. The record is from Rfam. NCBI's taxonomy places the organism in Eukaryota, Metazoa, Mollusca, Gastropoda, Planorbidae.
UGGCUGAGUGGUAAAGCGCUUGGCUUCCGAACAUGGGGUCCUGUGUUCAAAUCUCGG